Molecule: long non-coding RNA, 978 nt
Organism: Bos taurus (domestic cattle)
Lineage: Eukaryota; Metazoa; Chordata; Mammalia; Artiodactyla; Bovidae
Source: Ensembl
CCAAGUGUGUGUGUGGCCCCCAGGAGACAGGCACCGAAUACUCAGGCAGCACUAUCGCCAACAGGCAGCGACUGGCAACUAUUUCAGCGCCUCUCCACAGCUCCAAGAAUAAGUCACUAUGGAGUAAUUGUACAUGAUUAUCCUGCAAACGUGAGCCCGAACAAACCUUGCUGCACACGGCCCCGGGGGUGAUUCUCACCCUCGUCACACUGAGCCAGGCAUUAGCACACCUACUCAGACAGAUGACCCGGAUCUGCACCCAUGCGGGUGUCCGGCUAUGUCGACCUGCCUGAGCUGGGCCCACUUUUCGCUGAGUGGCCCCAGGUUGUCGUGGCGGAAAGAGGGGCGUGCAGUUGAUCUGGAAGGGAGAGGGGAGCGGCCGCAACACGCCCCCCUCGGGUGCCCCAAGUGCCCCCGGUGCACCUUGUCCCCCUCUCCUUCCUGCUCGCCUGCCUCGCGGACCGCCAGUGACCCCUGGACCGCCACCGUAGAAGCAGCUCGCAUCCAUCGAGGGACCAGGUUCCAGCCAGUGAACACACGUGCCAGCCUGCUUUCCAAGCACUGAAAUUCCACAAAGAACACUAGUCACACCAUCACUGAGCAUCACAGGGAUGUGGAGAACAGCGGAAGAAGCAGCCUGAUAAAAGUUAUUUUGGUGGAGCCAGGCUUGCCAGAGAAGACGGAGAUAAGAUCACAGGCCUCCGUUCACUGCCAGAUAGCCUGUUAGGGCUCUGAGGACAAGCCAGACUCCGAUGGUCUGCAGUGAUUUGUCUCAAACCCGAGGAGAAGCUCAAGAUGCUGGAAGACUGGCUUGGGACAUGGAGUGGCCAGCUGGGCCCGGUUGACCUGGGGAUGUCCUGCUUUUAGCAGCCACAGGGCAACCCCAGGAACCUCCUUAAACCCUGGAGAAGCAAGCUGAGCUUUGUAGGCUCUGGGGGCGUUAGGCAAAGUGGGUACCUUUCUGCGGACCUAGCCACG